This 666-nucleotide ribosomal RNA is filed under the name Micrauchenus lineola. Its description in RNAcentral is "eukaryotic LSU rRNA". It matches the Rfam family "Eukaryotic large subunit ribosomal RNA", at positions 266 to 652 of the family's 3401-position model. Lineage: Eukaryota; Metazoa; Arthropoda; Insecta; Hemiptera; Reduviidae. The record is from RNAcentral.
CGUGUUGCUUGAUAGUGCAGCCCUAAGAAGGUGGUAAACUCCAUCUAAGGCUAAAUAUAACCACGAGACCGAUAGCGAACAAGUACCGGUAGGGAAAGUUGAAAAGAACUUUGAAGAGAGAGUUCAAGAGUACGUGAAACCGCUCAGGGGUAAACGGAAAAGACCUGAAUAUCCGAAAGGGGAGAUUCACGUCUUGCCAUAUAUUCUCCUGUUAAGUGCAUUGAGAUGGUCAUUUGUCCCGCCCAGUGUAAACUGUGGUGGUGGGUUUGGUCGCUCGCAUUUAAAAUGUAAGAAUAAUGGUGGACCGCAUUUCUCCCUUAGUAAGACGUUGCGACCUGUUAAAUAAUACUCUAAGUAUAAGUUAAAGUGCCUGUUUAAGGUUAUACUUUUAUGGUAUGCUUUAUUCAGCUUUAACUAAUAAUACUGGGUAUUUAUAUAUUUAACAGUAACAAAUGACGGUGCUGAGCCACUUGCUUAAGAUUGCUGAAUUUAUUUAGUAAUUUUGUUGUAAGUGUUUAUUGUCCGUUCACAAGUGGGGUGUUAUAUAGUAUAGUCGUACUUUUAGUGAGUCUAUGCUAUAUCUCCUACUGUUGGUGAAGCUGUGACUCUAACUGGCUUAAAACACCUGUCGGCAGCGAUCCAGGUUCAGGCUCUUAUCCGGUCCGU